AGUUAUCGUUUAUUUGAUAGCACCUUACUACUUGGAUAACCGUGGUAAUUCUAGAGCUAAUACAUGCUAAAAAUCCCGACUCACGAAGGGAUGUAUUUAUUAGAUUAAAAACCAAUGCCUUCGGGCUUUCUGGUGAUUCAUGAUAACUUCUCGAAUCGCAUGGCCUUGCGCCGGCGAUGGUUCAUUCAAAUUUCUUCCCUAUCAACUUUCGAUGCGAAGGUUUUGUCUUCGCAUGGUUACAACGGGUAACGGAGGGUUAGGGCUCGACCCCGGAGAGGGAGCCUGAGAAAUGGCUACCACUUUUAAGGAAGGCAGCAGGCGCGCAAAUUACCCAAUCCCGACACGGGGAGGUAGUGACAAUAAAUACUGAUACAGGGCUCUUAUGGGUCUUGUAAUCGGAAUGAGUACAAUUUAAAUCCCUUAACGAGGAACAAUUGGAGGGCAAGUCUGGUGCCAGCAGCCGCGGUAAUUCCAGCUCCAAUAGCGUAUAUUAAAAUUGUUGUGGUUAAAAAGCUCGUAGUUGAACCUUGGGCCUGGCUGGCCGGUCCCCCUCACCGGGUGCACUGGUCCGGCCGGGUCUUUCCCUCUGUCGAACCGCAUGCCCUUCACUGGGUGUGUCGGGGAAACAGGACUUUUACUUUGAAAAAAUUAGAGUGCUCCAGGCAGGCCUAUGCUCGAAUAGUACAGCAUGGAAUAAUAGAAUAGGACGUGUGGUUCUAUUUUGUUGGUUUCUAGGACCGCCGUAAUGAUUAAUAGGGACAGUCGGGGGCAUCAGUAUUCAGCUGUCAGAGGUGAAAUUCUUGGAUCUGCUGAAGACUAACUACUGCGAAAGCAUUUGCCAAGGAUGUUUUCAUUGAUAAGGAACGAAAGUUAGGGGAUCGAAGACGAUCAGAUACCGUCGUAGUCUUAACCAUAAACUAUGCCGACUAGGGAUCGGACGAUGUUAUUUUUUGACUCGUUCGGCACCUUUCGAGAAAUCAAAGUGCUUGGG
Molecule: ribosomal RNA, 991 nt
Filed under: Davidsoniella virescens
Lineage: Eukaryota; Fungi; Ascomycota; Sordariomycetes; Microascales; Ceratocystidaceae
Description: SSU rRNA
Rfam family: Eukaryotic small subunit ribosomal RNA
Source: RNAcentral